Odocoileus virginianus texanus is the source of this 672-nucleotide long non-coding RNA. RefSeq lists it as uncharacterized. The record is from RefSeq and is a predicted model, not a curated record. NCBI's taxonomy places the organism in Eukaryota, Metazoa, Chordata, Mammalia, Artiodactyla, Cervidae.
UUGGAAUUCUAUUUGCAGUCUCCAAUCAAGCGUGUGACCAUGUGCAUUUGUUUUGCCCAGGACAAAAAUACCUGACACCCUCUUCCUGAGUCAUGUUGGCUGGUUAUACCAUCAUUCUGAACCAACCUUCUGUCCCAGGGCAUCUUGGGCUUGUCACGACUGAAGGGGCCCAGUCAGCAGGAAAAGAAAGAUUCACCAAUUUAUCUUGCAACACAGCUCUGCUAGACUUGGAAGUACCUCUAGGGCAUCGUGAGAGAGAAUUGUCUGGGGUCUAAGCCUGGUGUUCAGGGUACCAAGAGACAGUUCACAGAUUAUUUACUGUGACAUUUGCUUCUACAACCUGCAUCCUUCUGAGACAGUGCCUCCUUAAGAUCAAAAUCAUCAUCCUGAAAGGCACUGGCAAGGAGAUUUUUCUUAAAAAUACAAUGAUCCAUUCUGUGCAUUUCCUCCCUCCACUGGCCCUUUGGUAAUUAACUAGGUGAAAUAAGGAGAUAAUGGUGAAUCUGGAGUAACUGGAGCCUCUAGUAAAGUUGACUCACUUCUUGUAGAUGGAGAUGCCUAUCAAGCAAGAAUCUUCAGUUGGGAAGAUGCGGUGGAGAGAAGGACCUGACAGGUGGUGGAUAUCUACACAGUCCAAGGGACACUCAAGAGCCCAAAAGCAUCCACAGUUCA